GAGUUUGAUCAUGGCUCAGAUUGAACGCUGGCGGCAUGCCUUACACAUGCAAGUCGAACGGCAGCACGGGAGCUUGCUCCUGGUGGCGAGUGGCGAACGGGUGAGUAAUGCAUCGGAACGUAUCCUGGAGUGGGGGAUAACGUAGCGAAAGUUACGCUAAUACCCCGCAUACUCUGUGAGCAGGAAAGCGGGGGACCUUCGGGCCUCGCGCUCUUGGAGCGGCCGAUGUCGGAUUAGCUAGUUGGUGAGGUAAAGGCUCACCAAGGCGACGAUCCGUAGCAGGUCUGAGAGGAUGACCUGCCACACUGGAACUGAGACACGGUCCAGACUCCUACGGGAGGCAGCAGUGGGAUUUGGACAAUGGGGCAACCCUGAUCCAGCCAUGCCGCGUGAGUGGAGAAGGCC
This 405-nucleotide ribosomal RNA is filed under the name bacterium enrichment culture clone ALO1_GLFRUDD03GPX00. Its description in RNAcentral is "bacterial SSU rRNA". It matches the Rfam family "Bacterial small subunit ribosomal RNA", at positions 9 to 416 of the family's 1533-position model. The record is from RNAcentral.